RNAcentral lists this ribosomal RNA (440 nucleotides) under uncultured bacterium. RNAcentral's name for it is "partial 16S ribosomal RNA". It matches the Rfam family "Bacterial small subunit ribosomal RNA", at positions 339 to 795 of the family's 1533-position model. The record is from RNAcentral.
CUACGGGUGGCUGCAGUCACGAAUCUUCCUCAAUGGGCGAAAGCCUGAAGGAGCGACGCCGCGUGCAGGAUGAAGGUCUUCGGAUUGUAAACUGCUUUUGCAAGGGACGAAUUUUGACGGUACCUUGCGAAUAAGAGGUUGCUAACUCUGUGCCAGCAGCAGCGGUAAGACAGAGACCUCGAGCGUUAUCCGGAUUUAUUGGGCGUAAAGCGUCCGUCGGUGGUCUGUUAAGUCAUCGGUAAAAUCUCUCCGCUCAACGGAGAGCCGGCCGGUGAAACUAUCGGAAUUGAGGGUGGGAGAGGUGAGCGGAAUUGCCGGUGUAGUAGUAAAAUGCGUUGAUAUCGGCAAGAACACCAGAGGCGAAAGCGGCUCACUGGAACACUCCUGACACUUAGGGACGAAAGCGUGGGUAGCGAUACGGAUUAGAUACCCGUGUAGUC